This 509-nucleotide ribosomal RNA is filed under the name Beauveria bassiana. RNAcentral describes it as "eukaryotic LSU rRNA". The stretch from base 142 to 295 matches the Rfam family "5.8S ribosomal RNA". The record is from RNAcentral. Lineage: Eukaryota; Fungi; Ascomycota; Sordariomycetes; Hypocreales; Cordycipitaceae.
CCCUUCUGUGACCUACCUAUCGUUGCUUCGGCGGACUCGCCCCAGCCCGGACGCGGACUGGACCAGCGGCCCGCCGGGGACCUCAAACUCUUGUAUUCCAGCAUCUUCUGAAUACGCCGCAAGGCAAAACAAAUGAAUCAAAACUUUCAACAACGGAUCUCUUGGCUCUGGCAUCGAUGAAGAACGCAGCGAAACGCGAUAAGUAAUGUGAAUUGCAGAAUCCAGUGAAUCAUCGAAUCUUUGAACGCACAUUGCGCCCGCCAGCAUUCUGGCGGGCAUGCCUGUUCGAGCGUCAUUUCAACCCUCGACCUCCCCUUGGGGAGGUCGGCGUUGGGGACCGGCAGCACACCGCCGGCCCUGAAAUGGAGUGGCGGCCCGUCCGCGGCGACCUCUGCGCAGUAAUACAGCUCGCACCGGAACCCCGACGCGGCCACGCCGUAAAACACCCAACUUCUGAACGUUGACCUCGAAUCAGGUAGGACUACCCGCUGAACUUAAGCAUAUCAAUA